RNAcentral lists this long non-coding RNA (1651 nucleotides) under Zalophus californianus (California sea lion). Its description in RNAcentral is "lncRNA (ENSZCAG00015009945.1)". Lineage: Eukaryota; Metazoa; Chordata; Mammalia; Carnivora; Otariidae. The record is from RNAcentral.
AUGCCUCUGGUCCUGGAAAUUUGGGCUCAUGCUCCUGGCUGCUCAUGCUACUGGUUGAGAGAGGUUGGAGGUCAGUGGUUCUUACCUGGUAUUCGCACAUGUUUGGAAUGCUCUGGGCUUACUUGGAAAGUUUGGAUUCUCAUGAGUUUGCUUGAGUCCAUGACCACUGUCCGCUCUUGCAUGAUUUCUCCUCUCAAUGGGAGACACAGUGCAGGGUACCACACAUGCUCCCUGCCUCCCCGGUGGCGAUUAUCUGUGGGUCGGGUGUAUCUGGACUCUCUAGGGACAGUCUUGGCUGACUUCAAGACAAACUUCUCCCGGACCCCUUCUCCAUCGACAGAGAGCCACCAAGUACCCUCUGUGUGCCAACAUUUCUCGAUCAUCCACUGUGUGCAGGGUAUUUUAGCCAGCGGUGAGCAGAGUGAUAACAAGACCGUGUCGUAUGCAGUAGCUCUAUGCUUAGUGCCGCAUCAAAAGCUCGCCUGGGCCAGUGUGGGCAGGGCCUGCAGAAGAACCCUAGCAUCAUGCUGCUUCUCUCAUUCGCUGUCCCGAACUCUGCUGUCCCCUGCAGCCGUCACAAGGGCUGAGUGGCUGAAUGAGCCCCAUGACUUCUCCUUACAUGAGUUACCUGUGAUUCCAGUCCAAUCCCAAGUUAAGCAACAAAACAAAAGCAAGUGACCUGACCAGCUACUUUCCUCCCCUCCUUCUCCUUCAGGCAUCCAGACAUAUCUAAACAUACUUAGUAUUGUGCCCUGUGCCUUGCCCAGGGGAGGGAGAAGUUUCUAGUGAUUAUGGCUUUCUGUUUGCUGCCUGGUGCUUUUAUAGUACUAGUACUACUUCUACUUCUUCUUCUUCUUCUUCCUCUUCUUCUUCCUCUUCCUCUUCCUCUUCCUCUUCCUCUUCCUCUUCCUCUUCCUCUUCUUCUUCUUCUUCUUCUUCUUCUUCUUCUUCUUCUUCUUCUUCUUCUUCUUCUUCCUCCUCCUCCUCCUCCUCCUCCUCCUCCUUUUCUUUUUUUUUUAACCAAAAUUACAUUUGUUUGGUUGUCAUUGUCAAGUAUAUUUAUUGUGUUUUACAAACAUGAGUGUAUAUAUAUAUGUAUGUAUAUGUAUAAAACCAAACUUAUAUAUAAAAAGUCAAGGCAUGUAUACUAGAUAUUUUAAAGAGUUAUUUAUCAAGGGAAAAAGAUGUGUGUUAUAAAGUAAACAGAGUCUAUAUUUUAUAUAUAAUGUAGAUAGCAAAAAAAAUAGCUUAUAAAUUAUAGAAGGUUUUGGUUUUCUUUUUUAUUAUUAAAGCAAAAAAAGAAAAAGAAAACAAGGACAAUGAAUGCAACUGUUUUUAGUGUUUUUAAGGCCAAACCUACUGUGGGAGGUGACCUUCCCUGCUGGGCCCCUUGGCCAUGCAGUCUGAGCUCCCGACCCGCUGUUACCUCUGCAAUGCUCAGGGGACCGUGUUUAGCAUUGCUCAGCCAGCUGGCCUGCGCCCCUUACAUGUGGCCUUUUGCUGCCCUCUCCAAUUUGCCUUGGUGGGAUAAAGAAGUGAAAGUAGCAAAUAAAGAUUGAAGAGAAGAUACAAUUCCAGCUCUUUGCCUGUUUAUUGGACCCAAGUUCUGUAGCUCAUGAGUUCGGUACCUGGCCAAUCUGUGGGAUCCGAA